GACGAACGCUGGCGGCGUGCUUAACACAUGCAAGUCGAACGGAAAGGCCCUGCUUUUGUGGGGUGCUCGAGUGGCGAACGGGUGAGUAACACGUGAGUAACCUGCCCUUGACUUUGGGAUAACUUCAGGAAACUGGGGCUAAUACCGGAUAGGAGCUCCUGCUGCAUGGUGGGGGUUGGAAAGUUUCGGCGGUUGGGGAUGGACUCGCGGCUUAUCAGCUUGUUGGUGGGGUAGUGGCUUACCAAGGCUUUGACGGGUAGCCGGCCUGAGAGGGUGACCGGCAACAUGGGGACUGAGAUACGGCCCAGACUCCUACGGGAGGAAGCAGUGGGGAAUAUUGCACAAUGGGCGGAAGCCUGAUGCAGAAACGCCGCGUGCGGGAUGACGGCCUUCGGGUUGUAAACCGCUUUCGCCUGUGACGAAGCGUGAGUGACGGUAAUGGGUAAAGAAGCACCGGCUAACUACGU
This 467-nucleotide ribosomal RNA is filed under the name uncultured bacterium. Its description in RNAcentral is "partial 16S ribosomal RNA". It matches the Rfam family "Bacterial small subunit ribosomal RNA", at positions 28 to 506 of the family's 1533-position model. The record is from RNAcentral.